RNAcentral lists this ribosomal RNA (253 nucleotides) under uncultured bacterium. RNAcentral's name for it is "partial 16S ribosomal RNA". It matches the Rfam family "Bacterial small subunit ribosomal RNA", at positions 524 to 776 of the family's 1533-position model. The record is from RNAcentral.
GACGUAGGGUGCGAGCGUUGUCCGGAUUUAUUGGGCGUAAAGAGCUCGUAGGCGGCUCGUCGCGUCAGCUGUGAAAACCCGCGGCUUAACCGUGGGCUUGCAGCUGAUACGGGCGGGCUAGAGUUCGGUAGGGGAGACUGGAAUUCCUGGUGUAGCGGUGAAAUGCGCAGAUAUCAGGAGGAACACCGGUGGCGAAGGCGGGUCUCUGGGCCGAUAUUGACGCUGAGGAGCGAAAGCGUGGGGAGCGAACAGG